This 576-nucleotide ribosomal RNA is filed under the name Schwanniomyces occidentalis. RNAcentral's name for it is "eukaryotic LSU rRNA". It matches the Rfam family "Eukaryotic large subunit ribosomal RNA", at positions 45 to 638 of the family's 3401-position model. Lineage: Eukaryota; Fungi; Ascomycota; Pichiomycetes; Serinales; Debaryomycetaceae. The record is from RNAcentral.
AAUAAGCGGAGGAAAAGAAACCAACAGGGAUUGCCUUAGUAACGGCGAGUGAAGCGGCAAAAGCUCAAAUUUGAAAUCUGGCACCUUCGGUGUCCGAGUUGUAAUUUGAAGAAGGUAACUUUGGGAUUGGCUCUUGUCUAAGUUCCUUGGAACAGGACGUCACAGAGGGUGAGAAUCCCGUGCGAUGAGAUGACCAAUCCUAUGUAAAGUGCUUUCGAAGAGUCGAGUUGUUUGGGAAUGCAGCUCUAAGUGGGUGGUAAAUUCCAUCUAAAGCUAAAUAUUGGCGAGAGACCGAUAGCGAACAAGUACAGUGAUGGAAAGAUGAAAAGAACUUUGAAAAGAGAGUGAAAAAGUACGUGAAAUUGUUGAAAGGGAAGGGCUUGAGAUCAGACUUGGUAUUUUGCAUUCCUUACCUUCGUGGUGGGGUUCCUUGCAGUUUACUGGGCCAGCAUCGGUUUGGAUGGUGGGAUAAUGACAUUGGAAUGUGGCUCUGCUUCGGUAGAGUGUUAUAGCCAGUGUUGAUACCGCCUGUCUAGACCGAGGACUGCGUCUUUGACUAGGAUGCUGCAAAAUGAU